UUAUGGUCAUAUCACAUUGAAAGGCCGGUUCUUCUAUGAUCACUGAAGUUAAGCAACGUCGAGACUGGUCAGUAACUAGAUGGGUGACCUCUGGGGAAAACCAGGUACUGUAA
Molecule: non-coding RNA, 113 nt
Organism: Acanthosepion pharaonis
Lineage: Eukaryota; Metazoa; Mollusca; Cephalopoda; Sepiida; Sepiidae
Source: the annotation of a GenBank genome assembly